AUGCAAAGAACUUUGAAAAGAGAGUUAAAGAGUACCUGAAAUUGCUGAAAGGGAAGCGAAGGAAACCAGUGUGAGUUGCGUCAUAUUUCCCCAGUCGCUUGCGGUUGGGGCGCUGUGGCCAGCGUUGUCACUUUUGGUGGGUCGCAUCGGAUGCUUUUGGCAGGGGAGUUUAUACCCUGUCUCUUUGCGUUGCGUUUGACUGAGAGUGUCGAAAUGGUUUUCUUUUCCCCGUCUAGAAACACGGACCAAGGAGUCUAACAUAUGUGCGAGUACAGGGGUGUCAAUCUCUUGUGCGCAAUGAAAGUGACAGUGGCUGGAACGUUUUGUUGCACAGUCCGCCGGCCAUAAUCCCUCGGGAGAACGGUCUGAGUGUGAGCAUACAUGUUGGGACCCGAAAGAUGGUGAACUAUGCCUGAAUAGGGUGAAGCCAGGGGAAACUCUGGUGGAGGCUCGUAGCGAUUCUGACGUGCAAAUCGAUCGUCAAAUUUGGGUAUAGGGGCGAAAGACUAAUCGAACUAUCUAGUAGCUGGUUCCCUCCGAAAUUUCCCUCAGGAUAGCUGCGAUCGAAAUUAUUGAAACCAAUUUUAUCA
This 590-nucleotide ribosomal RNA is filed under the name Sellaphora pupula. RNAcentral's name for it is "eukaryotic LSU rRNA". It matches the Rfam family "Eukaryotic large subunit ribosomal RNA", at positions 364 to 1006 of the family's 3401-position model. The record is from RNAcentral. Lineage: Eukaryota; Bacillariophyta; Bacillariophyceae; Sellaphorales; Sellaphoraceae.